RNAcentral lists this ribosomal RNA (433 nucleotides) under uncultured bacterium. RNAcentral's name for it is "partial 16S ribosomal RNA". It matches the Rfam family "Bacterial small subunit ribosomal RNA", at positions 29 to 507 of the family's 1533-position model. The record is from RNAcentral.
AACGAACGCUGGCGGCAUGCCUAACACAUGCAAGUCGAACGAGACCUUCGGGUCUAGUGGCGCACGGGUGCGUAACGCGUGGGAACCUGCCCUUAGGUUCGGAAUAACUCCCCGAAAGGGGUGCUAAUACCGGAUAAUGUCUUCGGACCAAAGAUUUAUCGCCUUUGGAUGGGCCCGCGUUGGAUUCGCUGGUUGGUAGGGUAAAAGCCUACCAAGGCGACGAUCCAUAGCUGGUCUGAGAGGAUGCUCAUCCACACUGGGACUGAGACACGGCCCAGAAUCCUACGGGAGGCAGCAGUGGGGAAUAUUGGACAAUGGGCGAAAGCCUGAUCCAGCAAUGCCGCGUGAGUGAUGAAGGCCUUAGGGUUGUAAAGCUCUUUUACCCGGGAUGAUAAUGACAGUACCGGGAGAAUAAGCUCCGGCUAACUCCGUG